UGAAAUGGCCUGGACCUAUUCUCAAACUUUAAAUGGGUAAGAGGAGUGACUUGCUUAACUGAAGUCACUCUUGCGAAUGGAAGUUGCUAGUGGGCCAUAGCUGGUAAGCAGCUCUGGCGAUGCGGGAUGAACCGAACGCAGAGUUAAAGCGCCGGACUGCCCGCUCAUGAGAUCCCAUAAAAGGUGUUGGUUCAUUUAGACAGCAGGACGGUGGCCAUGGAAGUCGGAAUCCGCUAAGGAGUGUGUAACAACUCACCUGCCGAAUGAAUUAGCCCUGAAAAUGGAUGGCGCUGAAGCGGGCGGCUUAUACUCUGCCAUCAGGGCAGGUCGUAGGCCCUGAUGAGUAGGAGGGCGUGGGGCUCGUGGUGCAGGCUUGGGCGUGAGCCCGGCUGAAACGUGCUCUAGUGCAGAUCUUGGUGGUAGUAGCAAAUAUUC
This 435-nucleotide ribosomal RNA is filed under the name Karenia brevis. RNAcentral's name for it is "partial Eukaryotic large subunit ribosomal RNA". It matches the Rfam family "Eukaryotic large subunit ribosomal RNA", at positions 1037 to 1472 of the family's 3401-position model. Lineage: Eukaryota; Dinophyceae; Gymnodiniales; Kareniaceae. The record is from RNAcentral.